GGAGUGGCUGGUACUUUUCCAGAAGUUAGUAUUCUGAAUGGGACUGGUGCAAAAAAUGAGAAAAUAAGCAGGAAAUGGCUGAAUCUUUUGACUGACCACUAAGUAAAGUCUGGCUUCUUUACUGAUCUAGGAUUGAACAUCAUGCUAAAUAAAAAAUAAAAGACUUA
Molecule: non-coding RNA, 167 nt
Organism: Pantherophis guttatus
Lineage: Eukaryota; Metazoa; Chordata; Lepidosauria; Squamata; Colubridae
Source: RefSeq, a predicted model, not a curated record